UGGGGAAUAUUGGACAAUGGGCGAAAGCCUGAUCCAGCCAUGCCGCGUGUGUGAAGAAGGUCUUCGGAUUGUAAAGCACUUUAAGUUGGGAGGAAGGGCAUUAACCUAAUACGUUAGUGUUUUGACGUUACCGACAGAAUAAGCACCGGCUAACUCUGUGCCAGCAGCCGCGGUAAUACAGAGGGUGCAAGCGUUAAUCGGAAUUACUGGGCGUAAAGCGCGCCUAGGUGGUUUGUUAAGUUGGAUGUGAAAUCCCCGGGCUCAACCUGGGAACUGCAUUCAAAACUGACUGACUAGAGUAUGGUAGAGGGUGGUGGAAUUUCCUGUGUAGCGGUGAAAUGCGUAGAUAUAGGAAGGAACACCAGUGGCGAAGGCGACCACCUGGACUAAUACUGACACUGAGGUGCGAAAGCGUGGGGAGCAAACA
This 427-nucleotide ribosomal RNA is filed under the name uncultured bacterium. RNAcentral describes it as "partial 16S ribosomal RNA". It matches the Rfam family "Bacterial small subunit ribosomal RNA", at positions 355 to 774 of the family's 1533-position model. The record is from RNAcentral.